This 378-nucleotide unclassified non-coding RNA is filed under the name Hevea brasiliensis (rubber tree). The record is from RNAcentral. Lineage: Eukaryota; Viridiplantae; Streptophyta; Magnoliopsida; Malpighiales; Euphorbiaceae.
AUGUCAGAGUCUGUUGAUUUAUCUACUUAUGCAAACAACUUACCUGGAUGGACUGGAGCAAAGUUGGCUCAGCUGGUCCAGGAGGCUGCUCUUGUGGCAGUCAGGCAAGGACAUGCAUCAAUUAUUCAGUCAGACAUGGAUGAUGCAGUUGACCGACUUACUGUGGGACCAAAGCGUGUUGGAAUAGAGUUGGGUCAUCAGGGACAAUGUCGAAGAGCUACUACUGAAGUUGGAGUUGCCAUGAUUUCUCAUUUGCUUAGGCGAUAUGAAAAUGCCAAAGUUGAAUGCUGUGAUCGCAUUUCAAUUGUCCCCCGCGGUCACUUAAUGCCUAUGGUAACGUGUGCCAAAUGAUAUCUGCAGACAUUGUCACAAGUUGUG